RNAcentral lists this long non-coding RNA (283 nucleotides) under Suricata suricatta (meerkat). RNAcentral describes it as "lncRNA (ENSSSUG00005008891.1)". The record is from RNAcentral. Lineage: Eukaryota; Metazoa; Chordata; Mammalia; Carnivora; Herpestidae.
GGAGAGGGUGAAUUUUGCUCUCAAAAAUAAUUUUUAAAAAAAGGUAAUGGGGCUGAAUUUCUGGAGAGAGAUCAGGAAGAGCCAUGGUUUGAGACAAAAAAGAACCAGACAGAAGACAAAACGCAGGGAGGAAGAAUCACUCCCGAGAAUCCAUGAGUCUCCUGCUCUCCUUCAACACGGUCCACCCCCCUCUGCUCUCCCCUCAAAACGAAUAUUAACGAGGCACCCACCCAGUGCCUACUCAUGAAAAACACAGUGCAAGACCAAAAAAAGGUAUUAUCUG